RNAcentral lists this ribosomal RNA (253 nucleotides) under uncultured bacterium. Its description in RNAcentral is "partial 16S ribosomal RNA". It matches the Rfam family "Bacterial small subunit ribosomal RNA", at positions 524 to 776 of the family's 1533-position model. The record is from RNAcentral.
UACAGAGGUCUCAAGCGUUGUUCGGAUUCAUUGGGCGUAAAGGGUGCGUAGGUGGUGCUGUAAGUCAGGUGUGAAAUCUCGGGGCUCAACCCCGAAACUGCACUUGAUACUGCAGUGCUCGAGGACUGGAGAGGAGAUUGGAAUUCAUGGUGUAGCAGUGAAAUGCGUAGAUAUCAUGAGGAAGACCAGUGGCGAAGGCGGAUCUCUGGACAGUUCCUGACGCUGAGGCGCGAAGGCCAGGGGAGCAAACGGG